GCCUACGGGGGGCAGCAGUGGGGAAUAUUGCGCAAUGGCCGAAAGGCUGACGCAGCGACGCCGCGUGGGGGAGGAAGGUCUUCGGAUUGUAAACCCCUGUUGCCCGGGACGAAUCCUGGUUUCGACCAGAUUGACGGUACCGGGUGAGGAAGCACCGGCUAACUCUGUGCCAGCAGCCGCGGUAAUACAGAGGGUGCGAGCGUUGUCCGGAAUCACUGGGCGUAAAGGGCGCGUAGGUGGCUUGCCAAGCGUGUGGUGAAAGCCCGGAGCUCAACGCCGGGUCGGCCAUGCGAACUGGCAGGCUGGAGCACGGUAGAGGCCAAUGGAAUUCCGGGUGUAGCGGUGGAAUGCGUAGAGAUCCGGAAGAACACCGGUGGCGAAGGCGGUUGGCUGGGCCGUUGCUGACACUGAUGCGCGACAGCGUGGGGAGCAAACAGGAUUAGAUACCCCAGUAGUCGU
This 459-nucleotide ribosomal RNA is filed under the name uncultured Gemmatimonadota bacterium. RNAcentral describes it as "bacterial SSU rRNA". It matches the Rfam family "Bacterial small subunit ribosomal RNA", at positions 337 to 797 of the family's 1533-position model. Lineage: Bacteria; Pseudomonadati; Gemmatimonadota. The record is from RNAcentral.